This 619-nucleotide ribosomal RNA is filed under the name uncultured bacterium. RNAcentral's name for it is "bacterial SSU rRNA". It matches the Rfam family "Bacterial small subunit ribosomal RNA", at positions 338 to 951 of the family's 1533-position model. The record is from RNAcentral.
CCUACGGGAGGCAGCAGUGGGGAAUAUUGGACAAUGGGCGCAAGCCUGAUCCAGCCAUGCCGCGUGUGUGAAGAAGGCCUUCGGGUUGUAAAGCACUUUUAUCCGGAAAGAAAAGCUUUGGGUUAAUACCCUGAAGUCAUGGACGGUACCGGAAGAAUAAGCACCGGCUAACUUCGUGCCAGCAGCCGCGGUAAUACGAAGGGUGCAAGCGUUACUCGGAAUUACUGGGCGUAAAGCGUGCGUAGGUGGUUUGUUAAGUCUGAUGUGAAAGCCCUAGGCUCAACCUGGGAAUUGCAUUGGAUACUGGCAGGCUAGAGUGCGGUAGAGGAUAGUGGAAUUCCCGGUGUAGCAGUGAAAUGCGUAGAGAUCGGGAGGAACAUCUGUGGCGAAGGCGACUAUCUGGACCAGCACUGACACUGAGGCACGAAAGCGUGGGGAGCAAACAGGAUUAGAUACCCUGGUAGUCCACGCCCUAAACGAUGCGAACUGGAUGUUGGGUGCAACUAGGCACUCAGUAUCGAAGCUAACGCGUUAAGUUCGCCGCCUGGGGAAUCGGUCGCAAGACUUGAAACUCAAANAGAGUAGAGNGNGAGAGNGCGAGGCGACACGAGGGAGGAGG